RNAcentral lists this unclassified non-coding RNA (1163 nucleotides) under Hevea brasiliensis (rubber tree). Lineage: Eukaryota; Viridiplantae; Streptophyta; Magnoliopsida; Malpighiales; Euphorbiaceae. The record is from RNAcentral.
GAGCAGCCUUUUGCUAUUGGAGGUUUAUAUUUCCCUUCUCUAUUCUUGAAUUAGAGCCUUAAGUCUUAGCCCACAUAAAGCUUAAAGUUUCAUACGUGUAUGAGGCCCUUUAUGAAUGAGAGAUGGUGCGUUUUAAUUUGAUGUUGUAGGUUAAUUACAAUUGACAUUCGCUGUACUUUUUUUUUUUUAUUGGUUGCAAAGUUGUUGUUUGGAGUUCAUCCUAAUGAGUAAAAUAUGAUUUGGAUCCAGAAUCGCUUGGCGUAGGAUUGAAUUGGGGCAACUUGAAAUUUAUCGGCCCUGGUUCUCUCCGAAUAUGUAGCCCUAAACCUGGUGUAUAGGGGGAAACAGAUCCAUAUAGCAGAUCUCACUGCUUGUGAAUUUAGGCUGUGUUUGGUUUUAAUGUGCUCCUUUUUAGGGGUGAGUAGAAUUCGUUUCAAACUGAAAAAACCUACCAAACUGAUUUAAUUUGGAAAUUUGGUUCAGUUUUUUAAAUAAUCUGGUUCAUUUCGGUUUUUAAUUUUAUAAUUUUUAGUUUAUUUAGUUUAGUUUUGAAAGAAAAAAUUGCAGAAAAAAUGAAUCUAUUUAGAUAAAAUUAGUGGACUUUGUAGUGUAUGGACUAUGGACUACUUAUAGCCUAGUGGUUGACAAAGGUAAUGUAAAAACUGCGGGUACUAAGAUUGAUUCCGCCCAUCAACAAAUUUUUUUUGUUCUAUCUUUUUAGAACUACCACUACUCUCAACCAUCCAUUUCAUAUGAUCUAAACUGUUUAAGUUACAAUAUAUAUGCAUCUUUAUUUCGCUAACCCUAGCCUCCCUUCACUUCUCAUUUCCUCCCUUCAGACUCUUCUCUUUUCUACUAUCUUCUCUUCCCUAUGCAAAGGGGAAAAAAAACCCUUAGAAUUAUUCUCCUCUGCCAUAUCCUCUGUUUUUCUUUGUGCAAUCCCACGGCCUAUCUUCCCUGUCCAAAGAAAGCACACAAAAAAUCCCAAUUCUUGUAGCUUGUAAAUGCUGGUUUUUUUUUUUUUUCUUAUUGAGUUUACUGCUUUUUUGUUCUUUGGAAGUUUCUGUGGUUUCUUUUGGAUAUUGCUUUUUUAUUCACUCAACUCAACUAAGAUUUUAUUCCAAUAAUUUGGGGUCAGUUAUGUGGAUUCUCUUUCUCCACUC